AUAUUGCACAAUGGGCGCAAGCCUGAUGCAGCGACGCCGCGUGCGGGAUGACGGCCUUCGGGUUGUAAACCGCUUUUGAUCGGGAGCAGGCCUUCGGGUGAGUGUACCUUUCGAAUAAGCACCGGCUAACUACGUGCCAGCAGCCGCGGUAAUACGUAGGGUGCAAGCGUUAUCCGGAAUUAUUGGGCGUAAAGGGCUCGUAGGCGGUUCGUCGCGUCCGGUGUGAAAGUCCAUCGCUUAACGGUGGAUCUGCGCCGGGUACGGGCGGGCUGGAGUGCGGUAGGGGAGACUGGAAUUCCCGGUGUAACGGUGGAAUGUGUAGAUAUCGGGAAGAACACCAAUGGCGAAGGCAGGUCUCUGGGCCGUUACUGACGCUGAGGAGCGAAAGCGUGGGGAGCGAACAGG
RNAcentral lists this ribosomal RNA (405 nucleotides) under uncultured bacterium. RNAcentral's name for it is "bacterial SSU rRNA". It matches the Rfam family "Bacterial small subunit ribosomal RNA", at positions 361 to 776 of the family's 1533-position model. The record is from RNAcentral.